GGCAGCAGUGGGGGAUAUUGCGCAAUGGGCGAAAGCCUGACGCAGCGACGCCGCGUGCGGGAUGAAGGUCUUCGGAUUGUAAACCGCUGUCGCGAGGGACGAAUAAGGGGCGGGCGAACAUCCCGCUCCGAUGACGGUACCUCGAGAGGAAGCACCGGCUAACUCUGUGCCAGCAGCCGCG
This 181-nucleotide ribosomal RNA is filed under the name BTEX-degrading bacterium enrichment culture. RNAcentral's name for it is "partial 16S ribosomal RNA". It matches the Rfam family "Bacterial small subunit ribosomal RNA", at positions 347 to 519 of the family's 1533-position model. The record is from RNAcentral.